AGCGAACGCUGGCGGCAUGCCUUACACAUGCAAGUCGAACGGCAGCACGGGAGCAAUCCUGGUGGCGAGUGGCGAACGGGUGAGUAAAGUAUCGGAACGUGCCCAGUCGUGGGGGAUAACGUAGCGAAAGUUACGCUAAUACCGCAUACGAUCUAUGGAUGAAAGCGGGGGAUCGCAAGACCUCGCGCGAUUGGAGCGGCCGAUAUCAGAUUAGGUAGUUGGUGGGGUAAAGGCUCACCAAGCCGACGAUCUGUAGCUGGUCUGAGAGGACGACCAGCCACACUGGGACUGAGACACGGCCCAGACUCCUACGGGAGGCAGCAGUGGGGAAUUUUGGACAAUGGGCGAAAGCCUGAUCCAGCCGUGCCGCGUGCAGGAUGAAGGCCUUCGGGUUGUAAACUGCUUUUGUACGGAACGAAAAGGUUUGGCCUAAUAAGCUGAGCUCAUGACGGUACCGUAAGAAUAAGCACCGGCUAACUACGUGCCAGCAGCCGCCGUAA
This 500-nucleotide ribosomal RNA is filed under the name uncultured bacterium. RNAcentral describes it as "partial 16S ribosomal RNA". It matches the Rfam family "Bacterial small subunit ribosomal RNA", at positions 29 to 523 of the family's 1533-position model. The record is from RNAcentral.